RNAcentral lists this ribosomal RNA (482 nucleotides) under uncultured bacterium. RNAcentral's name for it is "partial 16S ribosomal RNA". It matches the Rfam family "Bacterial small subunit ribosomal RNA", at positions 28 to 507 of the family's 1533-position model. The record is from RNAcentral.
GACGAACGCUGGCGGCGUGCUUAACACAUGCAAGUCGAACGCUGAAGCUCAGCUUGCCGGGUGGAUGAGUGGCGAACGGGUGAGUAACACGUGAGUAACCUGCCCUCUUCUUUGGGAUAACGCCCGGAAACGGGUGCUAAUACUGGAUAUUCACUGAUUCUCGCAUGGGGGUUGGUGGAAAGGUUUUUUCUGGUGGGGGAUGGGCUCGCGGCCUAUCAGCUUGUUGGUGGGGUGAUGGCCUACCAAGGCUUUGACGGGUAGCCGGCCUGAGAGGGUGACCGGUCACAUUGGGACUGAGAUACGGCCCAGACUCCUACGGGAGGCAGCAGUGGGGAAUAUUGCACAAUGGGCGAAAGCCUGAUGCAGCGACGCCGCGUGAGGGAUGGAGGCCUUCGGGUUGUAAACCUCUUUCGCUCAUGGUCAAGCCGCAGCUUUGGGUUGUGGUGAGGGUAGUGGGUAAAGAAGCGCCGGCUAACUACGUG